UGUUCUUUUAUUAACAAAAUAAAAACUUGUCAACAAUCAAGCAUUCAGAGGAAGGCUUCAUUCCCAGAACGCUGGCAGUCAGACCAAGCACAAUUGAAGGUUUACCGAUUGUAUGCGAGCCAUUGGCUGUACAUCCUGGUCUGAAACAUCAUGAAAAAAUAGGACGACAAACUAGAACACAGAUACAACUCUAACAAAUAUAAGUACACAUAUGAAGCGCCAUCAGACUUGUGUACAACUAAACGAAAAAAAGAAGGAAAGAACGCCAAUGGUCAUCCUUCAUGAUUGGCUUUUCUCAAUUAAAAUGUGAUGGGAUGGUUGACAGAUGCCAAUGAUGCUCCACAAAACUAUUUCUAUGCUAUUUGUCAAACUCAAUUUUACAUAUUCGUUGGAUAAUUGUGUUUUGAUAAUAAAACAGCUUAAGACGAAAAAAA
Molecule: long non-coding RNA, 434 nt
Organism: Rhipicephalus microplus (southern cattle tick)
Lineage: Eukaryota; Metazoa; Arthropoda; Arachnida; Ixodida; Ixodidae
Source: RefSeq, a predicted model, not a curated record